Molecule: long non-coding RNA, 215 nt
Organism: Beta vulgaris subsp. vulgaris (sugar beet)
Lineage: Eukaryota; Viridiplantae; Streptophyta; Magnoliopsida; Caryophyllales; Amaranthaceae
Exons: 2
Source: RefSeq, a predicted model, not a curated record
AAUUGUGAUUGGGGAGAAAAUGGAAAUUAGAUAGGGGUUAUGAUAGUAAUUUGUUAUGGAGAGUUUUAUUUUUUUGGUGGAAGUUAGAAAUGGAGAAAAUGUAGUUGGACGUGGUAAUGGAUCAUGUGAAACACGACGAUUUUCGUUUUUUAUUUUUCCUUUCUAUGUAUGGGCUUGGGCCAUAUUAUAUGAGGAAAUCAUUGUGUCUGUGGUGA